UGAAUGUUAGCUAACGUUAGCUAACAUUCAGAGAUUAUUGGGGAAAAAGUUUAGCUGCAGUUUUUGUGGCAAGUCUAUAAACUUAAUUGCAAAAACUUCACAGUAAUGAUCCACGUUGUUUAUUUAAGUGCUUAGGACCUGGAGAAAUUCAGUUCAUUCUACUUGAACCUGCAGGGGGCUUGUUAAUGCACAGCCUAUAUUGGCAGGUGUAUAAGUAAAUAAAGAAACAACAAUGACCACAAGCACAGUGCAGCUAGAGAUUGCAAGGCUGCCAACUUUGCAGGAAUGUGGAAUGGCCAGCUGUCUGGUUUGUCAUCAGCGUUGUCACCUCUCAGCUUCAGUGAGUACAUAUAAUUGAUAGCCUUAUGAACCGGUACUGCCCUUAAAUGUUUUCUUUGUUUUGCUGGCUGCAGAGAGGAUCAAGUAAAUCCCCAGUGAUGAUGAAAACGCCUACUCAAAGUGCCAGUUUCCUGAACAUUGUACCAUGUCUGUAUGACACUCUGUCCGACCUGCUGUCAAGCCUGGACCCAUUGAUGUGGACACCGUCUUGUCAAAGCUAAUUAAAGGGAUGAUCGUGCCAGUCCACAGUGAACACCUGAUGGACAACAUGUGAGUCCUCAAGCAGAACUGGAGACAAUAUACACUUCAAGUUCCAGUUUCUUGAACAUCAUGUCUUUGUGAAACUCUAUCCCAUGUUGAGCACCCUCUUCAGCCAAGUCUGGAGUCAGUGACUCAUUACUCUUGAUCAACCCAGGGCAAGUGACAGUAGUGGGACUAAAAUAUGGGAUUGGAGCUUGAGGUGAAGUUAUAGGGUUAUAAUGAGGGAGUUUAUCACCGUGGGAACAUGAAUGUGCUGCAGUUUGAACCAUACGGAUAUGAAUUGUAUAAUAAUGACUUCUGUUCUGUGACCCAUCAUUUACUGAUGUGGUUCAUUGUGCUGGCACAGAGCAGACAUGAACACAGACCUGCUACAACAGCUGCUCUGCUUCUGCAUCUUAUACCAUGUGUGUUUGCAUGGUAGUCAUAGAUACAGUUCUCUAUCUCUAUGUCUAGCGUGUAUACCUGUACUGUGGAGAGAACACUGACAUAGCUGGAGUAAAGGGGGCAAAGUGGGCCGCUGGUCCCCUAUUGGCAGAU
Long non-coding RNA from Seriola aureovittata, 1137 nucleotides. RefSeq lists it as uncharacterized. The transcript has 3 exons. The record is from RefSeq and is a predicted model, not a curated record. NCBI's taxonomy places the organism in Eukaryota, Metazoa, Chordata, Actinopteri, Carangiformes, Carangidae.